This 535-nucleotide long non-coding RNA is filed under the name Phoenix dactylifera (date palm). RNAcentral's name for it is "long non-coding RNA (PDAC_LNC004773)". The record is from RNAcentral. Lineage: Eukaryota; Viridiplantae; Streptophyta; Magnoliopsida; Arecales; Arecaceae.
AAAUGAUAGACCAUUCAAAUUGAAGAGCCAAACUCUAGGGCAUGAUGCCUAGAAACCAAAAUUAAUAUACUUUUGGUAGUCUUUAACUUAAAUCAAGUCAAUACAAACAUAAAUGGUAUCAAUUGCACUAACAUGGUAAAAUACAUAAUAGAGCAUAUAAGUUAAAAAUCCAUUUUACAGAUCAUGAUCUGCACAUCUUAAAACAUGGGCAGAGUUAAAUUUAUGAGUUUUUGGUCAUUAGAUCAUAGUAAAAUAUAGUACCAUACUAUUACAACCGAAACUUACUUAAUGAUUAAGUUAGAGAUCAGCAAAACAUAUGAAUUUUGGUUUAUGGGCAUUUUUUUAGUAUAGAUUAUGUUCAGCAGUUUGGAUCAUAAUUUUGACAGUCCAUUAUCGAUUAUGAUAUGAAUUUUGAGUUUUGAGCCUUUUUUUCGUAUAGAUUAUGUUCAACAGUUUGGACCUUGAAUUUUGAUUAUCCAUUAUUAAUUAUUGUUAACUCCUUUUUCAAAGAGAUUGUUGUUGUUGUUGUUGUUGU